RNAcentral lists this ribosomal RNA (495 nucleotides) under uncultured bacterium. Its description in RNAcentral is "partial 16S ribosomal RNA". It matches the Rfam family "Bacterial small subunit ribosomal RNA", at positions 28 to 507 of the family's 1533-position model. The record is from RNAcentral.
GACGAACGCUGGCGGCGUGCCCAAUACAUGCAAGUAGAACGCUGAAGGAGGAGCUUGCUUCUCUGGAUGAGUUGCGAACGGGUGAGUAACGCGUAGGUAACCUGCCUGGUAGCGGGGGAUAACUAUUGGAAACGAUAGCUAAUACCGCAUAAUAGUAGAUGUUGCAUGACAUUUGCUUAAAAGGUGCAAUUGCAUCACUACCAGAUGGACCUGCGUUGUAUUAGCUAGUUGGUGGGGUAACGGCUCACCAAGGCGACGAUACAUAGCCGACCUGAGAGGGUGAUCGGCCACACUGGGACUGAGACACGGCCCAGACUCCUACGGGAGGCAGCAGUAGGGAAUCUUCGGCAAUGGACGGAAGUCUGACCGAGCAACGCCGCGUGAGUGAAGAAGGGUUUCGGAUCGUAAAGCUCUGUUGUAAGAGAAGAACGAGUGUGAGAGUGGAAAGUUCACACUGUGACGGUAUCUUACCAGAAAGGGACGGCUAACUACGUG